This 431-nucleotide ribosomal RNA is filed under the name uncultured archaeon. RNAcentral describes it as "bacterial SSU rRNA". It matches the Rfam family "Archaeal small subunit ribosomal RNA", at positions 474 to 903 of the family's 1478-position model. The record is from RNAcentral.
UACCUGCAGCUCAAGUGGUAGCCGCUAUUAUUGGGCCUAAAACGUUCGUAGCCGGUUUGAUAAAUGCCUGGGUAAAUCGUAUGGCUUAACCAUACGAAUUCCGGGUAGACUGUUAAACUUGAGACCGGGAGAAGUCGGAGGUACUCCUGGGGUAGAGGUGAAAUUCUGUAAUCCUAGGGGGACCACCAGUGGCGAAGGCGUCCGACUAGAACGGGUCUGACGGUGAGGGACGAAGCCCUGGGGCGCAAACCGGAUUAGAUACCCGGGUAGUCCAGGGUGUAAACGCUGCUUGCUUGAUGUUAGUUGGGCUCCGAGCCCAAUUAGUGUCGGAGAGAAGUUGUUAAGCAAGCUGCCUGGGAAGUACGGUCGCAAGACUGAAAACUUAAAGGAAUUGGCGGAGGAGCAACAGCAACGGGUGGAGCGUGCGGUUU